RNAcentral lists this transfer RNA (83 nucleotides) under Clostridiales bacterium oral taxon 876 str. F0540. RNAcentral's name for it is "tRNA-Leu". It matches the Rfam family "tRNA". Rfam says of the family: Transfer RNA (tRNA) molecules are approximately 80 nucleotides in length. Their secondary structure includes four short double-helical elements and three loops (D, anti-codon, and T loops). The record is from RNAcentral. Lineage: Bacteria; Bacillati; Bacillota; Clostridia; Eubacteriales. RNAcentral also lists the same sequence under 1 other name.
GCGGAUAUGGCGGAACUGGCAGACGCACUAGAUUCAGGUUCUAGCGGGAAACCAUGCAGGUUCAAAUCCUGUUAUCCGCACCA